GGAACAUCCAGCGGCUUCACAACAUGGCGGCUGUUUGUAUCGCCUGCUGACGGCUGCCAUUGGCCGCUGCAUCAGCGAUUGACAGGACGCUCAGCCAAUCAGAGAGCAGGGUCGUGUCACUAUGGCAGAGCCCUUAAUGAACCCUCACGGAGAACAUCUGUCUGACUGAGCAGGAGAACAUCUGUCUGACUGCAGCUGGAGAACAUCUGUCUGACUGAGCAGGAGAACAUCUGUCUGACUGUAGCAGGAGAACAUCUGUCUGACUGUAGCAGGAGAACAUCUGUCUGACUGAGCUGGAGAACAUCUGUCUGACUGAGCUGGAGAACAUCUGUCUGACUGUAGCAGGAGAACAUCUGUCUGACUGAGCAGGAGAACAUCUGUCUGACUGUAGCAGGAGAACAUCUGUCUGACUGUAGCAGGAGAACAUCUGUCUGACUGCAGCUGGAGAACAUCUGUCUGACUGAGCAGGAGAACAUCUGUCUGACUGCAGCUGGAGAACAUCUGUCUGACUGUAGCAGGAGAACAUCUGUCUGACUGUAGCAGGAGAACAUCUGUCUGACUGAGCUGGAGAACAUCUGUCUGACUGCAGCUGGAGAACAUCUGUCUGACUGAGCAGGAGAACAUCUGUCUGACUGUAGCAGGAGAACAUCUGUCUGACUGUAGCAGGAGAACAUCUGUCUGACUGCAGCUGGAGAACAUCUGUCUGACUGAGCAGGAGAACAUCUGUCUGACUGAGCAGGAGAACAUCUGUCUGACUGCAGCAGGAGAACAUCUGUCUGACUGUAGCAGGAGAACAUCUGUCUGACUGAGCAGGAGAACAUCUGUCUGACUGAGCAGGAGAACAUCUGUCUGACUGAGCAGGAGAACAUCUGUCUGACUGCAGCAGGAGAACAUCUGUCUGACUGCAGCAGGAGAACAUCUGUCUGACUGUAGCAGGAGAACAUCUGUCUGACUGAGCAGGAGAACAUCUCUCUGACUGCAGCAGGAGAACAUCUGUCUGACUGAGCUGGAGAACAUCUGUCUGACUGCAGCUGGAGCUUUUUGAUUUUAAAGACGGCCAGAUGACACAUGCACACCGGAUGAGAUCAGAGUCACAUCAGCUGGUUCUCCAGCUCAUUUCUACAACUUGCUGCCUUUCACGCACAUCUGGCUCCUGCUCAGUCGGGUUGUGUCCCACCACAGCUGAAGGAGGAUCCAGGUCUAUUUAUACAAAGAGCACCAGUCUGUCUCCAGCUGGUUGAGGCCGGCUCAGUCCAGCUCCGGCUUCCUGCCCACCUGAAAGCCUCUUACUUUUAUUUCCGGGAGGAUUUAAAGACGCAGCUCAAUUAACCUUCAGUCACUUUCAAGUUCAGUCAACAGAAGCUUUUAAAGAAAUGAGCAGAGCUGAUAUUUUACUCUGCAGCUCAGUCGUCCAUCGGGCUCUGAACCGGACAAGUUCAAACUGGAUUUAUGAGCUUUAUACUGGUCUGAAAUAAAAAAUCGAAGAUCU
Molecule: long non-coding RNA, 1489 nt
Organism: Pleuronectes platessa (European plaice)
Lineage: Eukaryota; Metazoa; Chordata; Actinopteri; Pleuronectiformes; Pleuronectidae
Exons: 2
Source: RefSeq, a predicted model, not a curated record